UACGUAGGGUGCAAGCGUUAUCCGGAAUUAUUGGGCGCAAAGAGCUCGUAGGCGGUUUGUCGCGUCUGCUGUGAAAACUGGAGGCUCAACCUCCAGCCUGCAGUGGGUACGGGCAAACUAGAGUGCGGUAGGGGAGAUUGGAAUUCCUGGUGUAGCGGUGGAAUGCGCAGAUAUCAGGAGGAACACCGAUGGCGAAGGCAGCUCGCUGGGACGGUACUGACGCUGAGGCGCGAAAGCGUGGGGAGCGAACAGG
This 253-nucleotide ribosomal RNA is filed under the name uncultured bacterium. Its description in RNAcentral is "partial 16S ribosomal RNA". It matches the Rfam family "Bacterial small subunit ribosomal RNA", at positions 524 to 776 of the family's 1533-position model. The record is from RNAcentral.